UGGGGCAUAGCUCAGAGGUAGAGCACUUGCCUAGCAUGUGCAAGGCUCUGGGUUUGAUCCCCAGGACCACAA
This 72-nucleotide transfer RNA is filed under the name Heterocephalus glaber (naked mole-rat). It matches the Rfam family "tRNA". From Rfam's summary of the family: Transfer RNA (tRNA) molecules are approximately 80 nucleotides in length. Their secondary structure includes four short double-helical elements and three loops (D, anti-codon, and T loops). The record is from Rfam by way of RNAcentral. Lineage: Eukaryota; Metazoa; Chordata; Mammalia; Rodentia; Bathyergidae.